RNAcentral lists this ribosomal RNA (427 nucleotides) under uncultured bacterium. RNAcentral describes it as "partial 16S ribosomal RNA". It matches the Rfam family "Bacterial small subunit ribosomal RNA", at positions 355 to 774 of the family's 1533-position model. The record is from RNAcentral.
UGGGGAAUAUUGGACAAUGGGGGCAACCCUGAUCCAGCCAUGCCGCGUGUGUGAAGAAGGCCUUUUGGUUGUAAAGCACUUUAAGCAGUGAAGAAGACUCCAUGGUUAAUACCCAUGGACGAUGACAUUAGCUGCAGAAUAAGCACCGGCUAACUCUGUGCCAGCAGCCGCGGUAAUACAGAGGGUGCAAGCGUUAAUCGGAAUUACUGGGCGUAAAGCGAGCGUAGGUGGCUUGAUAAGUCAGAUGUGAAAGCCCCGGGCUUAACCUGGGAACGGCAUCUGAUACUGUUAGGCUAGAGUAGGUGAGAGGAAGGUAGAAUUCCAGGUGUAGCGGUGAAAUGCGUAGAGAUCUGGAGGAAUAUCGAUGGCGAAGGCAGCCUUCUGGCAUCAUACUGACACUGAGGGUCGAAAGCGUGGGUAGCAAACA